This 1337-nucleotide non-coding RNA is filed under the name Pongo abelii (Sumatran orangutan). Lineage: Eukaryota; Metazoa; Chordata; Mammalia; Primates; Hominidae. The record is from RNAcentral.
GCUUCAAAUUGGAUGGCACUGCAGCUGGAGGCUUUGUUCAGAAUUGAUCCUGGGGAGCUACGAACCCAAAGUUUCACAGUAGGAAGGGGGAAAAAAGAAAAGAAAACAUUUUUCCUAAUGUAACAAUGCGAAUGCUAGAAAAUGACAAGACUGAUCGGUUUUAAACCAUUCUGAAGACUGACUGAGCGUGGAAGUUGCUCAACAAAAAAAGGAACGGGUAUAUUGACAGAGUCUUGCUCUAUUGCCCAGGCUGCAACUGGCGUGAUCUUGGCUCACUACAACCUCUGCCUCCUGGGUUCAAGUGAUUCUCCUGCCUCAACCUCCCAAGUAGCUGGGAUUACAAGCAUGCACCACCAUGCCUGGCUAAUUUUUGUAUUUUUAGUGGAGACGGGGCUUCGCCACGUUGGCCAGGGUGGUCUUGAACUCCUGACCUCAAGUGAUCCACCUGCCUUGGCCUUCCAAAGUGCUGGGAUUAUAAGCAUGAGCCACCGCACCCAGCCUUAUACUGAACUUUCAAUGGGUUCAAUUCCACUAGGAGCAUAAAGUCCACUGCAUAUGAGUUGUGGAAAGAAGAGAUUAGAGGAAGAAGGAAGAACUUGAGAUGAGUUCUUCCCUUCAACAUUCUGUCUCCUCCUACCUAGCAUCUUCUUUCUUUUAGUCUUUCUAGAAUGUCCAUCUGUUUUUGGCCAUUGCAGAAAGAGAAGCUGAGCUUUAAAGGCGUAGGAGCUUCAAAAUUCUUGUUUCUUCAUGUUUGAUCACCCUUCUAAACCUGUCUUCUGUUCCUUCUGCUAUUCUUUUUUCUUAGAGCAUAGGAAAGGGGAGCUUUUAAAUUAAUACUUAAAGCAUGGAAAAAAAGAACUUCAGAAGAAAGUAAAACAAGGGAGAUGAGGCUAGUAAAGUAAGGAAAAUGGAGAAGAGGAAGAGGGGGAAGGGUUAGCUUCUAAAUUCCAAGUCAAAUUGAUACGGAACAGGCAAGCCUCUUGUCUUACUUAAACUUCAGAGAAGGAUCUGCUGAAACUUGAUAGAAAUGGAAGGGAAAUCCUUGGAGUGGGGAACCUCCAAAUGUUAGUAAUGAUAUUGAACAACUCAAAGUAUUGAGGAAAUCUGCAGGCUACAUGCCUGAAGAUCACCCAUGCAGAUAGACCAAAAGGAUUAGAAUUAUCUGUUGAUAUUAGUAAUAUUUAUUGACAUCUAGCUAGUAUUGGUAAUUUUAAGUUUUAGAUUAAUUUCUUUGGUAAUAGCUAUGAUAUAUUUUAUAGACAAGAAUUAUAUCUAUAGGCUUGCUAUCAUAGGCUCUUUUAAGUAGCAUUAAUUUAGUCUACUUAUUUUUAGCACAU